CCCUUAGAUGUCCUGGGCUGCACGCGCGCUACACUGAUGUGUCCAGUAAGCACCUAACCUCUUCCGAAAGGAACGGGUAACCUUUGCAAAGCACAUCGUGAUGGGGAUAGAUUAUUGCAAUUAUUAGUCUUGAACGAGGAAUUCCUAGUAAGCACAAGUCAUCAGCUUGUGUUGAUUACGUCCCUGCCCUUUGUACACACCGCCCGUCGCUCCUACCGAUUGAAUGUUCCGGUGAGCUCUUCGGACUGCGCGGUCUGCAGUUUCUGCGUUCCGUGCGGAACGUUGCGCAAACCUUAACAUUUAGAGGAAGGAGAAGUCGUAACA
RNAcentral lists this ribosomal RNA (324 nucleotides) under uncultured eukaryote. Its description in RNAcentral is "partial 18S ribosomal RNA". It matches the Rfam family "Eukaryotic small subunit ribosomal RNA", at positions 1470 to 1796 of the family's 1831-position model. The record is from RNAcentral.